This 393-nucleotide ribosomal RNA is filed under the name uncultured bacterium. RNAcentral's name for it is "partial 16S ribosomal RNA". It matches the Rfam family "Bacterial small subunit ribosomal RNA", at positions 523 to 918 of the family's 1533-position model. The record is from RNAcentral.
AUACGUAGGUGACAAGCGUUAUCCGGAUUUACUGGGCGUAAAGGGCGUGUAGGCGGUCUUGCAAGUCAGAAGUGAAAUUCCUGAGCUCAACUCGGGCGCUGCUUCUGAAACUGCAGGACUUGAGUGCUGGAGGGGAUAGCGGAAUUCCUAGUGGAGCGGUAAAAUGCGCAGAUAUUAGGAAGAACACCGGUGGCGAAGGCGGCUAUCUGGACAGUAACUGACGCUGAGGCGCGAAAGCGUGGGGAGCAAACAGGAUUAGAUACCCUGGUAGUCCACGCCGUAAACGAUGGGCGCUCGUCGUCGGCGACAGACAGUCGGCGGCCAAGCGAAAGCGAUAAGCGCCCCACCUGGGGAGUACGGUCGCAAGGCUGAAACUCAAAUGAAUUGACGGGG